RNAcentral lists this ribosomal RNA (460 nucleotides) under uncultured bacterium. Its description in RNAcentral is "partial 16S ribosomal RNA". It matches the Rfam family "Bacterial small subunit ribosomal RNA", at positions 338 to 795 of the family's 1533-position model. The record is from RNAcentral.
CCUACGUGAGGCAGCAGUGAGGAAUAUUGGUCAAUGGGCGCGAGCCUGAACCAGCCAAGUAGCGUGAAGGAUGACUGCCCUACGGGUUGUAAACUUCUUUUAUAAAGGAAUAAAGUGAGGCACGUGUGCCUUGUUGUAGGUACUUUAUGAAUAAGGAUCGGCUAACUCCGUGCCAGCAGCCACGGUAAUACGGAGGAUCCGAGCGUUAUCCGGAUUUAUUGGGUUUAAAGGGAGCGUAGAUGGGUUGUUAACUCAGUUGUGAAAGUUUGCGGCUCAACCGUAAAAUUGCAAUUGAUACUGGCAGCCUUGAGUACAGUUGAGGUAGGCGGAAUUCGUGGUGUAGCGGUGAAAUGCUUAGAUAUCACGAAGAACUCCGAUUGCGAAGGCAGCUUACUAAACUGCCACUGACAUUGAUGCUCGAAAGUGUGGGUAUCAAACAGGAUUAGAUACCCCUGUAGUC